AUUGAACGCUGGCGGCAUGCCUUACACAUGCAAGUCGAACGGCAGCACGGGAGCAAUCCUGGUGGCGAGUGGCGAACGGGUGCGUAAUAUAUAGGAACGUGCCCAGUCGUGGGGGAUAACGCAGCGAAAGCUGUGCUAAUACCGAAUACGAUCUAAGGAUGAAAGCGGGGGAUCGCAAGACCUCGCGCGAUUGGAGUGGCCGUUAUCAGACUAGGAAGUUGGUGGGGUAAAGGCCCACCAAGGCGACGAUCUGUAGCGGGUCGGCGAGGGCAAGAAGCAAAACGGGAGCUGAAGCACGGGCGAGACUCCGAGGGGAGGCAGCGGUGGGGAAUUUUGGACAAGGAGGGCAAGCCUGCUCCAGCAAGGCCGCGUGCAGGAUGAAGGCCUUCGGGUUGUAAACUGCUUUUGUAGGGAACGAAACGGCCCUUUCUAAUACAGGGGGCUAAUGACGGUACCGUAAAAAUAAGCACCGGCUAACUACGUGCCAGCAGCCGCGGUAA
This 500-nucleotide ribosomal RNA is filed under the name uncultured bacterium. Its description in RNAcentral is "partial 16S ribosomal RNA". It matches the Rfam family "Bacterial small subunit ribosomal RNA", at positions 29 to 523 of the family's 1533-position model. The record is from RNAcentral.